AGAAGAGUGAAGGUUCAGUGGAAGUUGCAGAAAUAAAUAGUGCAGCUCCUCAAGACCAACAGAGGUUUCCCGUGUCUUGUUUCCCAGCAGCUGAGUGAAGUGACGGGGGUUAACUCUGGAGUGAGUAACUUUAUCGACUCUGGCCCAAGCAGGAAAAGUUAUCACAGUGGUU
Molecule: long non-coding RNA, 172 nt
Organism: Sebastes umbrosus (honeycomb rockfish)
Lineage: Eukaryota; Metazoa; Chordata; Actinopteri; Perciformes; Sebastidae
Exons: 3
Source: RefSeq, a predicted model, not a curated record